UCCAAAGAAAAUUAGAGUGGUUCCCUAAAUCCUAAAAGACAAAAUUUGAUCUCCAUCACCGCUGCAUCUUCACACUACCGAAAAUCAUCUCUAUCUACGUUUUUGUAAUCUCCUUUGUUAUCGUCGAGCACCAGUCCCUGCUAGAUAAUUAGAUCAUUUUGGAUAUGGAACUAUGAAAAUUAGAGGUCGCAACAGAUUGGAAAUUCAACAACGCGAUGAAGAGGAUAUGUGAUAGCAUAUUGAGAAAUCGAUGGGUUGCCUGAACUACUCUCGAGCUGAACCUUAUAUUGAUCAGUUGAUAAAUAGUUAGAAUCUCACUGAAACCCAAGCACAUGAUGGUUAAUAUAAUGAGUUUAAUAGUUCUGUUUGUGGCACUAAUGUUCAACAUAAGGUCGAAUCAGUGGCAGAGAUGUACCCAAGCAAACAAAAAUAAUAGGGCCAAGCACAAGAUGUCUCAAAUAGGACGAUUCAAAAAUAUUGUUACCUAGAUAGAUGA
This is a long non-coding RNA of Solanum tuberosum (potato), 496 nucleotides long. RefSeq lists it as uncharacterized. The transcript has 3 exons. NCBI's taxonomy places the organism in Eukaryota, Viridiplantae, Streptophyta, Magnoliopsida, Solanales, Solanaceae. The record is from RefSeq and is a predicted model, not a curated record.